This 213-nucleotide unclassified non-coding RNA is filed under the name Hevea brasiliensis (rubber tree). The record is from RNAcentral. Lineage: Eukaryota; Viridiplantae; Streptophyta; Magnoliopsida; Malpighiales; Euphorbiaceae.
CGAAUUGGUAUAUGAAAGAUUUCCUUGCUUAAUGGAUAAUCAUUUCCUUCCAAUACGAAAUUCUUUCUCGUUAAACAUAGAUUAAGCUUCGUCUUGGGGCAUGAGUUUAUAUAUAUAUAUAUUGGAAUUUUGCAGACACUCCCAAAUAUCAAAUGCUGGUAAAUGUGCAAUAUUCUCUACAACAAACACCAAUUUUUUUUGCAUUUUGGUUUG